Molecule: non-coding RNA, 153 nt
Filed under: Candidatus Rokuibacteriota
Lineage: Bacteria
Source: RNAcentral
AGGGAAGCCGGUGAGGCCGCCCCGCGUGGCGGCCGAGGCCGGCACGGUCCCGCCACUGUGAGUGGGGAGGGGGCUCCCACGCGACGGCCACUGUGCGCCCGAGCGCGGAUGGGAAGGCCGGGAGCCCGCGACGAUCCACGAGUCAGGAGAUCU